UUACAUGGGAUUGGAUGGGAUUGGACAUGCUUAUCAGCUUGGGUUACACUAAUCCCAUGUUUGGCACAAACCAGGACUGUUUUAAAUGAGACUCUAGAGUCCCAAAUUCUCUCUCACACCUUCUACCAUAGAGCCCCCAAAAACCAUGGGACUAUGGAAGCUCUCAUGCUCACCUUCUACUGAAUUCUCGUUCUGCUCUCCUUCUCAACAACUUUCACCAAUUCUGAGAUUAAACACAAGAACACCUCAUUUUCUAGCCCCAAUUGAACCCGGAACCUCUGCCAUAGAAGGUUGUAGCCACGGUGGCUGAAUACCCAGAAAUCAAAUCUUCCAAAAUGUUAUCGAAUUCAAAAACCAUGUAUACUAGCAUGUUGAACACGAAGAACAGAUCAACGCUCCCCGACUUCAGUAUUCCCAAACAUAUGGCUUCCAGGACGUAACCGGCAGCCAUUUUCGAGCUUCACCGACGACCCAACAGUACAAAAGGGCCCAAUUGAAACACCCUGAUCGUAAAAACCAAAACCCACAACCACACUAUGAGUUUCAAGCAUCGCUGAGUGGCUAAGAACGGCAUUGGGGUGAACGAUCGCAGAGGGGUGAAUGAAGCCAUCAGAAACUGUGCUGCAGAAGAAGCGUCGUCGCAGAGAGAGAGAGCUCUGGUUGUUUAGGGCAGUGAAUAAGAGCUUUGGUUGUACAGAAACUACAGGAGACCCCAGAUUUUCGAGGCCCGAUUCUCUCUCCACACCCAGCAACCAGACCAGCCGAGGCUAGAGGAACGUCGACGACGACGAGAUGGAUCAAACCCAAUCGGUGCGCCUGCCGGAGGUGGCCUGAUGGCAGAGUUCCGAUCAGCUGCCGCUUAGUGCUUCCCUGGUCUUCAGGUCGAUGGUGUUGGCUUUAGUUUUAGUCCUGACUGACCAAACAUGGGUUAGGGAAUAAUAUAGCAUAAUCCAAGCUUGAGGAGUCCAGAACUCUCGUAGAAAUUAAGGUGAGGUAUGACAGUCCGGUGAAACAAACACCCCCUAACAGCUUCUCUCUCGAAAAGUAGAAGCUGCCUGACCCGUGCUUUGAGAAGCCAGAAGCCAGGAUCCUACUGUAGCGGGAGUGACUGUAGAUUAAUGAAUCUUUGAAAAUACCGGUCUCUAUCCUCCCUUGGUUGAGGCAAUUACGGAUUGCCAUUAAACCCUUCUUCUAUCUAGACGCUGCACAAUCUCUCUCCCUCUCAUCACAGACGCCGCAUCACACACACCCUCCCUCUGACGCUGCCUCAGCCUCUCAUCACGAUUUCGGGUUGGAAAUCGAAGCCUCAAUCAAGGCUGCUUGGCAAUUUGAUUCAGUUGCGAAAUUCGAGUGUGUGUUUAGUGAAGUUGGUGUUGUUAAAGAAGAUGGGUUUUCGAUGCCUGUGAACCCCAGCAGCCAAGAAACCCUGGGUCAUUGCUUCAUAGAGUUUAAUUCUCCUCAGUCCUCAAGGUAUCCAGGGUCUCCUUCCUUGCUUAGUCCCGUAACAGAAGAAGACGAAGAACCCGUUCAUAGUGAUGAAACUAGUGCAGAUGACCAUGACGACAUAAUGCAGUGGAGUGAGCAAGACAAUGAUAUGAGCAGUGAGGAAUUUAGGGAAGUCAUUGAAUAAAAAUAUGAUCACAAUUCCAAUUCCUAAUGGGCAUAUGCUGAGGGGAUAUAUGCGGUAGAACCGAUUAGGCUCCAAAUGCUCAUUUUGUCUUGUGCUAGAUUUGAAUCAUCUGAUUAUAAUUCUACCAAACACUCUUUGGAACAUUUGACCUGCCUCCACUAGUAGGAAAUGAUUGUAUUCUUGAAAGGAUGCUGUUAUGCAGUUUGAGCCAUCAAUAUUGAAAAUUAUUGUUACGAAGUGUACAACUUAA
This is a long non-coding RNA of Rosa rugosa (rugosa rose), 1880 nucleotides long. RefSeq lists it as uncharacterized. The transcript is spliced from 3 exons. Lineage: Eukaryota; Viridiplantae; Streptophyta; Magnoliopsida; Rosales; Rosaceae. The record is from RefSeq and is a predicted model, not a curated record.